UACGGGGGGGGCAAGCGUUGUUCGGAAUUACUGGGCGUAAAGGGCGCGUAGGCGGCCUUCUAAGUCAGACGUGAAAUCCCCGGGCUCAACCCGGGAACUGCGUCUGAUACUGGAGGGCUUGAAUCCGGGAGAGGGAUGUGGAAUUCCAGGUGUAGCGGUGAAAUGCGUAGAUAUCUGGAGGAACACCGGUGGCGAAGGCGGCAUCCUGGACCGGUAUUGACGCUGAGGCGCGAAAGCCAGGGGAGCAAACGGG
This 253-nucleotide ribosomal RNA is filed under the name uncultured bacterium. RNAcentral's name for it is "partial 16S ribosomal RNA". It matches the Rfam family "Bacterial small subunit ribosomal RNA", at positions 524 to 776 of the family's 1533-position model. The record is from RNAcentral.